RNAcentral lists this small RNA (46 nucleotides) under Arabidopsis thaliana (thale cress). Its description in RNAcentral is "ATSL257320". The record is from RNAcentral. Lineage: Eukaryota; Viridiplantae; Streptophyta; Magnoliopsida; Brassicales; Brassicaceae.
CCUUUAUCUUUGUUUCUUCGUCUUCGUCUUCUUCGUUGUUCGUUUU